RNAcentral lists this small nuclear RNA (327 nucleotides) under Erinaceus europaeus (western European hedgehog). Its description in RNAcentral is "7SK RNA (ENSEEUG00000021400.1)". It matches the Rfam family "7SK RNA". From Rfam's summary of the family: 7SK was discovered as an abundant small nuclear RNA in the mid-70s but a possible function has only recently been suggested. Two independent studies have found that 7SK RNA binds the CDK9/cyclin T complex (known as elongation factor P-TEFb). Lineage: Eukaryota; Metazoa; Chordata; Mammalia; Eulipotyphla; Erinaceidae. The record is from RNAcentral.
GGAUGUGAGAGUGAUCUGGCUGCGACAUCUGUCACCCCACUGAUCGCCAGGGUUGAUUCGGCUGAUCUGGCUGGCUAGGCGGGUGUCCCCUUCCUCCCCUCACUGCUCCAUGUGCAUCCCUUCCUGAAGCUGUGCACAAAUAGGAUGGCCUUCCCCGAAUAGAGACGGACCCGUCUUCAGUCGAGUGUAUACAAGUAGCUGCGUUCCCCUGCUAGAGCCUCCAAACAAGCUCUCAAGGAUCCUGGUUUGAGCCCCCGGCUCCCCACCUGCAGGAGGGUCCCUUCAUGGGCAGUGAAGCAGGUCUGCAGGUGUCUGUCUUUCUUUUCC